This 303-nucleotide ribosomal RNA is filed under the name uncultured bacterium. RNAcentral describes it as "partial 16S ribosomal RNA". It matches the Rfam family "Bacterial small subunit ribosomal RNA", at positions 507 to 807 of the family's 1533-position model. The record is from RNAcentral.
AGCAGCAGCCGCGGGAACACGUAGGGUGCAAGCGUUAAUCGGAAUUACUGGGCGUAAAGCGUGCGCAGGCGGUUAUAUAAGACAGAUGUGAAAUCCCCGGGCUCAACCUGGGAACUGCAUUUGUGACUGUAUAGCUAGAGUACGGCAGAGGGGGAUGGAAUUCCGCGUGUAGCAGUGAAAUGCGUAGAUAUGCGGAGGAACACCGAUGGCGAAGGCAAUCCCCUGGGCCUGUACUGACGCUCAUGCACGAAAGCGUGGGGAGCAAACAGGAUUAGAUACCCCGGUAGUCCCUGUCUCUUAUAC